UAUCCAGACUCCUACGGGAGGCAGCAGUGGGGGAUAUUGCACAAUGGGGGAAACCCUGAUGCAGCGACGCCGCGUGAGUGAAGAAGUAUUUCGGUAUGUAAAGCUCUAUCAGCAGGGAAGAAGAUGACAGUACCUGAGUAAGAAGCCCGGCUAACUACGUGCCAGCAGCCGCGGUAAUACGUAGGGGGCAAGCGUUAUCCGGAUUUACUGGGUGUAAAGGGAGCGUAGACGGAUGGAUAAGUCUGAAGUGAAAGCCCGCGGCUCAACUGCGGGACUGCUUUGGAAACUGUAUGGCUGGAGUGCUGGAGAGGCAAGCGGAAUUCCUAGUGUAGCGGUGAAAUGCGUAGAUAUUAGGAGGAACACCAGUGGCGAAGGCGGUCUGCUGGACAGCAACUGACGCUGAGGCGCGAAAGCGUGGGGAGCAAACAGGAUUAGAUACCCUCGUA
This 446-nucleotide ribosomal RNA is filed under the name uncultured bacterium. RNAcentral's name for it is "bacterial SSU rRNA". It matches the Rfam family "Bacterial small subunit ribosomal RNA", at positions 328 to 792 of the family's 1533-position model. The record is from RNAcentral.